Molecule: ribosomal RNA, 431 nt
Filed under: uncultured bacterium
Lineage: Bacteria
Description: partial 16S ribosomal RNA
Rfam family: Bacterial small subunit ribosomal RNA
Source: RNAcentral
AACGAACGCUGGCGGCAGGCUUAACACAUGCAAGUCGAGCGCCUCGCAAGAGGAGCGGCAGACGGGUGAGUAACGCGUGGGAACGUACCCUUAUCUUCGGAAUAGCUCUGGGAAACUGGAAGUAAUACCGAAUGUGCCCUUAGGGGGAAAGAUUUAUCGGAUAAGGAUCGGCCCGCGUUGGAUUAGCUAGUUGGUGGGGUAAAGGCCUACCAAGGCGACGAUCCAUAGCUGGUCUGAGAGGAUGAUCAGCCACAUUGGGACUGAGACACGGCCCAAACUCCUACGGGAGGCAGCAGUGGGGAAUAUUGGACAAUGGGCGCAAGCCUGAUCCAGCCAUGCCGCGUGAGUGAUGAAGGCCUUAGGGUUGUAAAGCUCUUUCACCGGAGAAGAUAAUGACGGUAUCCGGAGAAGGAGCCCCGGCUAACUUCGUG